CUCCGCCCUCUGCAGACCUUCACGCCACUCCAGGGGAUGCAACCAGCUCCCCUUUCAAAGGUGCAGGUUUCAGCAGCCGCCGGCUCUCUCCGCAAAGACUUUAAUUCGAGGUCUCAUCUGAGCCGAGGAACCGGCCUGAACCUCUUCUUUGGUUAACACCCACUUGGAAACCUCUCUUCACAUCAGAUUUCUGUCCAGUACUUCUCACUGACCAGGCUGAAAAGUGUCAACAAAGGGGAGUGGGGUGCUGACCUGAGUAAAUGUGGAAAUGAGUGGAGUCUGUAAAACUGAAGGCAAAAGGAACUGCACAUAAGCAUUGUGCUCUAAUUGAUGAUAGAGUUCAUGAUUCUGAUGCUGCUAUACAAGCAUAAUGGAAUCAAGUAGGUAAGUAGAUGGAUGGCACAGAGUGAGAGCCACGUUUCUCAACUGUGCAGUGAGAUUCAGGUAAGAAAGUGGUAUGAAUUGGGAGGAGGCUAGAAUAAUUCAAUUGGUACUGGAUUUGAAUUGGUAACAUUAGUAAGAGCUCAUGUUUAGUCUAAUGUAGAUACUAAUGACUACAUAUAGGAAUAUUUAUAGAUGUGUGUGUAUUAUAUACAUGUACGAAAGCCCAGCACACGAAAUUGUGGAGGCAGGGUCCCUAGGCCUAGCCUGCGAUCAGAGCCAUCUUCUGCCCGUUGGCCAGUCCCCAAGCCAAACACUGCCUCCGCUGCUGGGUGGGUGGGUCGCGGGUGUGCCCCGCAGCUUCCAUCAGCGCCACAAGCCCCAGCAGCAGCGGCAGCAGCAGCGAGCAGCCCCCCUCGAGCUGGCAGAGCGUUCCAUCUGCGGCCAGCCCCUGUGCACGCACAUGGAGGUGAAGUGGCCAGCGCCCGUUUUCCCACAGACCUGAGCCCCCGAGCAGCCAGGGAUGAGCUGGGGAUCCCAAUGGCUUGACAGCCAGCUGGGUCCUCCUGCCACCCCACCCACCCGGGUUCCCCAGAUCACCAUCACUGGUCCAUUGGAGCCUACGGGCCGGGGGGAGGGACCAAGAGGUCAGCCGUUCCUCCCUCUUGCCAGUCCCCCGUCCUGCCCCGCCGCCACCCACCCACUUCCCUGUGGUUCCCCGUUUGCCUGUGGGCAGAGGUGAAGGAUGGAGGAGGUGGGGGAGGGGAGGAACCAAGAGGUGGUCAAUGCACCUUAUGGCAACUGGUCGAGCAGUCAUUCCAGUCAUUACGUUUAUGGUCCCUGGCCUUUUACUAUAUAGGAUAUGUCUUUGUCAGAUGAGAGAGCUCAAAAGAGCUAACACCCCAGUAGCAAUGCAUACAAUUUAUGCCCAUGGUAUUGGUUUCUAAUACCAUUUCCAAUAAAAGGAACCAGGGUUUCUUGGAGAAAUGGCUGAUUUCAGGAUUAGCAAAGAAGUAUACAAGAUGAGCAUGGAACAUCUUAGAAUGUCAGAAAAGUAAGGAAAUACAAAAAUGAAAACAAAACAAAUAAACAACGAAACACCACAUUCAUGAGGGUCUGUCAAAGGAACUCAGGAGCCAAAGGAAGAAGCUCCCAAUGGCCAAAGCUAGAAUGAUUUGAGCCACAAAAUUAUUAAAGCACUAGUGGCCUGGUGCACAAAAUUCAUGCAUGGCGGGGGUGUCCCUCAGCCCAGCCUGCACCUCUCCAAUCUGGGACAUCCCUCUCGCUAUCCGGGACCGCUGGCUCCUAAC
Molecule: long non-coding RNA, 1691 nt
Organism: Myotis lucifugus (little brown bat)
Lineage: Eukaryota; Metazoa; Chordata; Mammalia; Chiroptera; Vespertilionidae
Exons: 3
Source: RefSeq, a predicted model, not a curated record